UAAGGAAUAUUGGUCAAUGGGCGGAAGCCUGAACCAGCCAUGCCGCGUGCAGGAUGACUGCCCUAUGGGUUGUAAACUGCUUUUGUCCAGGAAUAAACCUAGAUACGUGUAUCUAGCUGAAUGUACUGGAAGAAUAAGGAUCGGCUAACUCCGUGCCAGCAGCCGCGGUAAUACGGAGGAUCCGAGCGUUAUCCGGAUUUAUUGGGUUUAAAGGGUGCGUAGGCGGCCUAUUAAGUCAGGGGUGAAAUACGGUGGCUCAACCAUCGCAGUGCCUUUGAUACUGAUGGGCUUGAAUCCAUUUGAAGUGGGCGGAAUAAGACAAGUAGCGGUGAAAAUGCAUAGAUAUGUCUUAAGAACUCCGAUUGCGAAGGCAGCUCACUAAGCUGGUAUUGACGCUGAUGCACGAAAGCGUGGGGAUCGAAACAGGGAUUGAGAUAACCCCUGGUAGUCCACGCCCUAAACGAUGAUAACUCGAUGUUGGCGAUAGANAGCCAGCGUCCAAGCGAAAGCGUUAAG
This 516-nucleotide ribosomal RNA is filed under the name uncultured bacterium. RNAcentral's name for it is "partial 16S ribosomal RNA". It matches the Rfam family "Bacterial small subunit ribosomal RNA", at positions 355 to 864 of the family's 1533-position model. The record is from RNAcentral.